RNAcentral lists this long non-coding RNA (633 nucleotides) under Pan troglodytes (chimpanzee). Its description in RNAcentral is "lncRNA (ENSPTRG00000054144.1)". Lineage: Eukaryota; Metazoa; Chordata; Mammalia; Primates; Hominidae. The record is from RNAcentral.
CUGUUAGUUUAUAAAUUCAAACUCAUUUUCUUAUAUAGGUGAGAACAAGCCAAAACCAUAUUUUUUCCAAUGGUUAUGAUUACCUUAUGACGAUUAACCAUCUACAAUAUUAUUAUUAUUUGGGCAGUGGGAUUUUGAAGAAAAUAACAAAAGACAGAAAAAUAGAAAAUAUUCAACAACAAAGCAGGAAAUUAUGUUCGACCAGAUUGAAUGCUCAAAUUGUGGUUAAACUGAUGGCCUGCCUGAUAUUCUACACUGAUUACUCCCUCCCCAGGGAGAUAUUAUAAACAAGGAUUUACUGUCAAAAUAUUUUUUAUUUGUCUGAAAACUAAUUUGCCAAGCCUGGAGAUCAGAGGUUUGGCGCAGAUGGGAAAAGCAACCUGUUCCUCUGCCUUGAAGGAAUCAGCUGUAGAGAGAACGGCAGCAAGUGGAAUGGAAAUGUCACUUCAGCCCCGAAGCUUCGUAAAUAUCAGGAAAGAAGACAGUACUAAUCUCCCAGCCCACAGCUCACAAAGCCACUCUCUCUUCCAGCAGGUGGAGUCACUAAAAAUAACAUGGAAUCUAUCAGGCAGUUUUCUUAGGACUUUUGUUACUCCAUUCUUGUGUCUCUGGUUUUAUUGCCUGGAUUGCUAA